RNAcentral lists this ribosomal RNA (126 nucleotides) under Pogona vitticeps (central bearded dragon). Lineage: Eukaryota; Metazoa; Chordata; Lepidosauria; Squamata; Agamidae. The record is from RNAcentral.
UUGGGGAAGGUUAUUACCUUAUUGCCACUGUACCACCCUGACCACGCAACAGCAGAUGUUAAGCAGGAUCAGGCCUUAUUAGAACUUGGAUGGGAGACCACCGGGAAUUCUAGAUACAUCUCCAUC